This 1680-nucleotide long non-coding RNA is filed under the name Canis lupus familiaris (dog). RNAcentral describes it as "lncRNA (ENSCAFG00000058156.1)". Lineage: Eukaryota; Metazoa; Chordata; Mammalia; Carnivora; Canidae. The record is from RNAcentral.
UUGCAAUACUUAUACAGCACUCCUCAUUUCUAAAUCAAAAAGUUGAGUACCUGCAGCCACAGGAGGGGAAGUUUAGGAUCUGAUGCCUGUAAUAUUUUUCAGACAGAAAACACUCUCCUAAUGCCUCUACCCAGGAGAUGGUAAACUACUCUGACAUCUCAGCUGUUGCCCCUCCAAGCAGAUUCACACACCUCUUGGCUAACACCCCCUUUGGGCAGGCAUCUAAUCAUGUUUACAGUUAUUCAUUAUGACUGGCUAUACACAGAUAGUGCCUUUGGUGUCAAACCGAAUGGCCCUGUAGACCUCUAGCCCAAGAGAGCUGGAAGAUACAGACAUACAUUAAAUAAGACACAGGCAAAAACAUAGCAUCCACUUCCCUGAGAUGGAAAGAGACUGAAGCUAGACCUGCUAGAGUCCUCCAGAGCUCCAGUGUGGGGAGGCCCAUUGCAAGCAGAGCAGGAUCAAAAAAUCUGAGUUGCUUCGGGAUCAGAAAGCUUGCCAGAAAGCUUCUGUGGGUGUCUGCAAGCAAAUAUGCCAGCAAGAAAAAAGAUGAACUGUUUUGCAGGGGAAUCAUCUUGCAGUAGAAGGAUGAAUAUGCAUGCUAAGUGCCAGGGCGUGUCCCUGAACCUCCGAGCUAGUAUACAUAUAGUGCAAUUUCAUGCAACUCUCUGUCCGAGACCAUGAAGUGGAGAAGUGCUUUUUACCAUCUGCAAUAAUCUAAAUGGGGAGUCUUGGGGGUGGGGGAGAGGGUGGAGAGAUAAUGACAUGGAGAGAUGGCCUCCAGUCCUCAAAAUCCACUGUAAUGCACACUCUGUGUUUAAACAAGGCGAACUUGCAUUUCCUCAAAAGUCAUUUAGACACAGUCACAUAAUUGGGAGUGAAUCUAAAACCUCUAGAAAGAGCGGCACAUUUUCCCACUGACACAGCUGUAUUGAAAAAUCAACCCAUGGCUCUAAGGGAAAUGAGAAAACACAACUGGUGAUUUCUAGCAAGGCAUCCAAUCUUCAUUUUUGUGAUCCCUCAAUUCUCAGUUCAAGUAUAAACAGAACUUUUUUCUUCCCCUGAAGUAGGAAAAGGAUUAAGUAGGCAGGACGCUUUCUGAGUUCUGUGUAGCAUAUGUUCAUAAGCUUCCCUUUUGUAGCAUUUAUGGAUUCAUUCUGGAGUAGGGUUAAGCUGGAGCAAAGCAAUUUGGCAUGCUUGCAUUUGCUUUAUCGGGAGAAGCAAGUGCAGUCUGCAGGGGCCACCCUGACCAGAGUGGCAAAGAAGCUUCCUGGAACCCUGAGGGGGAUGCUGAUUAUUUUCCUUACAGGGAUGCUCAAACUGAGCCUUCCUCCUUGCAAAUCGGAAAAUGAGCUUCAUGUAAAUCACCCUCAGGAAAGUGGCGCCCCCCCCCCCCAACCAAGAGUGAUCAUAAUCAGGUAAACUUAAUUUCUGACCAGCUUCAGCAAUCACCCUGCAGUAUCUGCACUGCCACACAACCUCGAGGUCAGCAUUCCAAUCCGCCCCAGUCCGAGGCCCGCAUUCAGUGACAGAUGGGAUUUCCCAAUCUGUAUGUGGGCUUCCGUAGGCUCCUUCCCUGUGACACAUACAGUGCCGCUCUCAAUAGGGGUGUGGUAGAAGGAUUUUUAAUGCUCACAAUGCAAAUUUAAAAAGCAAUUAUUUACUUAAUAUUUUUAAAUG